UGGUAAUUAGUUUAAAUCAAAACAAAUGAUUUCGACUCAUUAAAUUGCGUCUAACACGUAAUUACCAA
Molecule: non-coding RNA, 68 nt
Organism: Cavia porcellus (domestic guinea pig)
Lineage: Eukaryota; Metazoa; Chordata; Mammalia; Rodentia; Caviidae
Source: Ensembl